CUAAUACUUCAUAAUAUCCAUCUCGUAUCGGAUUAAAGCUUUAUGCGCUUUGGAGGGGCCUGCGUAACAUUAGCUUGUUGGUGAGGUAAAAGCUCACCAAGGCUUCGAUGUUUAACUGGUUUGAGAGGAUGACCAGUCACACUGGGACUGAGAUACGGCCCUAGACUCCUACGGGAGGCAGCAGUAAGGAAUCUUCCACAAUGGGGCAACCCUGAUGGAGCAAUACCGCGUGCAGGAUGAAGCGUUUCGGCGUGUAAACUGCUUUUAUCACCGAAGAUUAUGACUGUAGGUGAAGAAUAAGGACCGGCUAACUACGUG
Molecule: ribosomal RNA, 318 nt
Filed under: uncultured bacterium
Lineage: Bacteria
Description: bacterial SSU rRNA
Rfam family: Bacterial small subunit ribosomal RNA
Source: RNAcentral